Molecule: non-coding RNA, 75 nt
Organism: Xylaria sp. FL1777
Lineage: Eukaryota; Fungi; Ascomycota; Sordariomycetes; Xylariales; Xylariaceae
Source: the annotation of a GenBank genome assembly
GCCCGGUUAGCUCAAUCGGUAGAGCGUGAGACUCUUAAUCUCAAGGUUGCGGGUGAGUUUACCCUGCCUCUGAUU